GUGCUCGCUUCAGCAGCACAGAUACAAAAAUUGGAACAAAACAGAGAAGAUCAGCAUGGCCCUCUGCAAGGAGGACAUGCAAAUUCAUGAAGCAUUCCAUAUUAAA
This is a small nuclear RNA of Lepus europaeus (European hare), 106 nucleotides long. NCBI's taxonomy places the organism in Eukaryota, Metazoa, Chordata, Mammalia, Lagomorpha, Leporidae. The record is from RefSeq and is a predicted model, not a curated record.